Molecule: long non-coding RNA, 1830 nt
Filed under: Brassica napus (rape)
Lineage: Eukaryota; Viridiplantae; Streptophyta; Magnoliopsida; Brassicales; Brassicaceae
Description: long non-coding RNA (BNAP_LNC005330)
Source: RNAcentral
UUGUUGAGAGACAAACCAGCGAGCUGAAAAUCCAUUGUUGUUGGAGGAGGGAAGAACUUGGAGGAAUCUUCCAUGAUUGAAGAGAAAAAUCUCUGAGAUGAAGAAGGAGUUGCUACUGCGUUAGGUUUGAAUGAUUUUUUGGUUUUCCGACAUCCUCCACCGAUGGGGACGUUUCUUAAGGCACCACCACGUGUCCAGUAACGGCGGCAAGAUUUGCAGAAGUGACGAGGCUGAGAGAGGCUGUAGUUGUUGUAGUAACAGAACUUUGUGUUUGAGGAGUUGCAACGAGGGCAUUUUAGGGUUUGUUGGUCUUGAGAGGUGGAGGAGGACGGUGGUUUUUUGGUAUGGGGUGUCCCGGUGGUACGGUGAUCCGGUUUAGGAGAGUGGAGAUUGGUAUGGGAGGACAUGAUGAUGAUGGGACGAGAGGAGAAAAGUUUGAAGGAAAUAAGUAAAGUAGGAGAAUAGAGAGAAAGAGAGGUUGAGGAACAGUCGGUACAAGGGUUUCGUGUGGUGUUAUAUAUUUAUACAAAUGAUUGUGUAUGUUUGUGUUUGUGUUUUUUUUUUUUAAAGUCACUUUGGCAUAAAUAAUUAUAGAUAUUGAUUUAUUUGAAGAAAACAAAAAGUGUUUUUGUCUUCAAAAAGUUGGAGAGAAAGACUUAAUUACUUUUCGUUUGUUAAUGACUUAGCAAAUAUAAAAAGUGGUUUUAUCGUAAAGAAUUGGAAGUACUUAAUUAUUUGAGAUUUUGGCAUUUGUAACUCUAUUUGUAAGAAAACUCUAUUUGUAUUUAUAUUGCACUAAUAUAGUGUGUUUAUAUUAUAGUGAAACUUUAAUAACUUGAGUUUUGUUAUUCAUUUCUAAGACAUUAAAUACAGUAUUAUUAAGUUACAAAAAAAUACAGUAUUAUUAAAAAUCUUAGUUAUGCGUACUGUACAGUUUACACAAAAUUUAUGGUAACACAAAAAAUUAUAAACAUAAUCUAUAUAAAUUUGAAAACUCAAUAUUUAUGUUAUAACAAAUCAAACUGUGAUAUCUGUGUUGGAUGUAAAUUUUGUUGGUAACGAUUAUACAAGAGUAGUAUUUUUUUUUUUUUUGCAAACAAAUUAAAUAUGUAUUUAACAUGUUUUAGUAAAGUCUUUGAGAUAAAACACCAAGCUUGAACUCCGUUGUUCCAUUGCUCACUUCCUCCUGUAUUAUUAUUAUUAUUAGCCACCCCUUCAGUAUCAUUAUUAUUACCAAAAUACCAUUCUGUCUGAUUAUCUCCUUUCUUCGUCGGCGACUGCGAUGAGUUCACGAUAUCGAGAUUCCUGUAAAGUAUCGGCUGUGGCCUCUCCACAACGACAGUCUCUUCUUUAGAGCUACCAAAAAGCAUAGCCAUCCUCUGUUGCUGAAGUCUCCAGUGCAAAUCUUGGUUUAAAGAACUCAAAGUUUCUAUCGAAGUUGCUAAGUUUCCGUCGGUUGCUCCGGCGGUUGUAAACGUCCCCGUUGAAUGGUUGUUGUUGUUGCUGUAAUCUCCAAAACCCAUUAAAGAUAAACCCGACCCGACAUCAACGGGUGUUGUCUCGACCUGGUCCAUGGGCCUAAGGCCAAGAACUUCUUGAUUAUUCAUAAGUUGAAGAUCGUUGAUUUUGUUGAGAGACAAACCAGCGAGCUGAAAAUCCAUUGUUGUUGGAGGAGGGAAGAACUUGGAGGAAUCUUCCAUGAUUGAAGAGAAAAAUCUCUGAGAUGAAGAAGGAGUUGCUACUGCGUUAGGUUUGAAUGAUUUUUUGGUUUUCCGACAUCCUCCACCGAUGGGGACGUUUCUUAAGGCACCACCACGUGUCCAGUAACGG